GCGGUUUUCUAGGUUGUCGUCAGCUCGUGCCGUGAGGUGUUCGGUUAAGUCCUGUAACGAGCGCAACCCUCGUCGCUAGUUGAUUUCUCUAGCGAGACUGCCCCGCACAACGGGGAGGAAGGUGGGGAUGACGUCAAGUCAGCAUGGCCCUUAUGUCUUGGGCUACACACACGCUACAAUGGAUGGUACAGUAGGUAGCGAAAGAGCGAUCUGGAGCUAAUCCCUAAAAUCAUCCUCAGUUCGGAUUGUAGGCUGAAACCCGCCUGCAUGAAGUUGGAGUUGCUAGUAACCGUGGGUCAGCACACUACGGUGAAUACGUUCUCGGGCCUUGUACACACCGCCCGUCACGUCAUGAAAGUUGGUAACACCUGAAGUCGAUGGGUUAACCCGGUUUACCGGGGAGCAGUCGCCGAAGGUGGGGCUGAUGAUUGGGACGAAGUCGUAACAAGGAAACCGUA
This 458-nucleotide ribosomal RNA is filed under the name uncultured bacterium. RNAcentral describes it as "bacterial SSU rRNA". It matches the Rfam family "Bacterial small subunit ribosomal RNA", at positions 1035 to 1504 of the family's 1533-position model. The record is from RNAcentral.